AAAAAAUUUUUUUUUUUUUUUUUACUUUUUCCGUGUUUUUUUUUUUUUUUUUAAAGUAAUUACAGAGCAGGUAGUGAUUGACGCAAACCUCCCUUCAGUAUCAAAAGAGUCUGUGGGGUGAGUAGGGCCGGCCAGGGCCGCGAGUGGAGCUCGCUGUUGGGGACACUGUCGGAGUUGCCCCCUGGGCUCUGGUGAAGUUGUCUGUCUCUUGUGUUUUGAGGGUGGUGGAGUAGGAGGGACGGACAGGCGUCAAACUGCAAAAGGGGGAAAAAACAAAGAAAUAAAGAAAAAAGAAAGAGCCAUAAAAGAAGGGUUGUUGGGAUGAGGGGAAAGGGUACCCCUCGAAGAAGCUCCUCAACCCAGGAAGGUGGCGGGCAGGGCAGGUGGGCAGAGGACACGGCAAGGCGGAGGGUGGGGCCACCUCUCCUGAUCUCCAGGUCCUUUCCCAUUGCAGGACAGGCAGGCGCCGCCAGGGCUGCUGGGUAAGCAGGAGCAUCUCGGGCAGGCGUCCUGCGUCCCCGCGUCCCCGCGCGCCUAAGUUUAGAUUUGUGUCUCUUGCACGUUCUCCUUGGAGCCGCUCUUGAAGAGCAGAGGUUCGUGGAUGGAGUUGAGGCCGGGGCCCUUGGCCCCGCACCCGCCUCCUGGAUUGCCGCCGUAGUGCGCCUUGAAGGCAGCCGCCACGUAGUGGUGGUGGUUGAGGUGGUCUCGCUCCAGCGCCGGAAGAGCCAGGUGGCUGUCCCCACCCACGCCCGCGCCUCCAGCCACCGCAGCGGCCGCA
This 778-nucleotide long non-coding RNA is filed under the name Rattus norvegicus (Norway rat). RNAcentral describes it as "long non-coding RNA NONRATT002591". The record is from RNAcentral. Lineage: Eukaryota; Metazoa; Chordata; Mammalia; Rodentia; Muridae.